This 494-nucleotide long non-coding RNA is filed under the name Homo sapiens (human). Its description in RNAcentral is "non-protein coding lnc-CD40LG-2:8". The record is from RNAcentral. Lineage: Eukaryota; Metazoa; Chordata; Mammalia; Primates; Hominidae.
UUGCGAACCAUGUUCUAUCCCGACUAAGUGGCCGUCCUGGGAGUUAUAGUGCCACUAGCCGGCCUCGGCUGUUCCCUGUCCGAGGCUCUUGUCAUUUCCGCUUAUUUCCUCCACGGGUGCCGAUUUCAUGUGUGUGUUCCCGAGUGCCUGAGCCGGCUCCCGAAAUGAGUACUCGUGGUUUCCGCGUGGGAACCAACCUCGAGCGCCAGUGGCCCGCCCUCUCCGGGCUGAGGUGGCUGCUGAGGCUGGGGCUGCUCCUGAGGCUUCAGGGCCGCCCGCUGCACGGCUUUCUACCUUCCCAGGUUAGCCGCGGUCAACUUCUGCCAGGCGGAGCGAGAAAUCGCAUUUUGUCAGAUUAGUUGUCCAGUUCAGACAAACCAGAUCCCCUGUCAGAUUCCUCCAUAGAACUUCUUUACAAAACCACUUCUUGGCAUCAUAAUUGGUGGCAUUUUCCCCUUCGGCUGUAUUUUUAUUCAACUCUUUUUCAUUCUGAA